AGCUUUGCGCAGUGGCAGUAUCGUAGCCAAUGAGGUUUAUCCGAGGCGCGAUUAUUGCUAAUUGAAAAGACUUUUCCAUUGACCUGUAGGAAAUUUUUU
This 99-nucleotide small nuclear RNA is filed under the name Neogale vison (American mink). RNAcentral describes it as "Neovison vison (American mink) U4 spliceosomal RNA (ENSNVIG00000006351.1)". It matches the Rfam family "U4 spliceosomal RNA", at positions 1 to 122 of the family's 138-position model. Rfam says of the family: U4 small nuclear RNA (U4 snRNA) is a component of the major U2-dependent spliceosome. Lineage: Eukaryota; Metazoa; Chordata; Mammalia; Carnivora; Mustelidae. The record is from RNAcentral.